GGUUUAUAAAGAAGUGGCGAGAGACUGGCUCAAUGACCCACUGGCAACCAUCUGAAGCGACGGAAAAGGUGCCAAAUCCUGUCCCAACCAACAUUGUUGUUGGGAGCAUAUAAAUA
RNAcentral lists this non-coding RNA (116 nucleotides) under Parapedobacter luteus. RNAcentral describes it as "SAM-I sequence". It matches the Rfam family "SAM riboswitch aptamer (S box leader)". Rfam says of the family: The SAM riboswitch is found upstream of a number of genes which code for proteins involved in methionine or cysteine biosynthesis in Gram-positive bacteria. The SAM riboswitch acts at the level of transcription termination control. The record is from Rfam by way of RNAcentral. Lineage: Bacteria; Pseudomonadati; Bacteroidota; Sphingobacteriia; Sphingobacteriales; Sphingobacteriaceae.